This 27-nucleotide non-coding RNA is filed under the name Cricetulus griseus (Chinese hamster). The record is from RNAcentral. Lineage: Eukaryota; Metazoa; Chordata; Mammalia; Rodentia; Cricetidae.
AAUCUAUGUAGAAAUUAUGACAGAAUA